CUUCAUACAGGAUCUAGCUACUGCUCACACAGCUUGAUAAUCCCACCUGGAAGAGGCCAUCCACAGGUACCCUUGUGGAUGGAUGAUGGCUUCUUAAGUACCAGAAAAAUGGCUCAGCUUGAAUACUUUCUAUUAGGUAUUCUUCGCUAGCAAUUUUUUAAUAUACUCAGAUUUUUUCCCACAGAAAGAUUUAUAUUGGGGUAUUGAGAUUCAAAAUGGAGGGAAGAAAAUUGCUAUUGUACAAAUUUUAAGGUUGGUUGCUCUCUCCUAUGAAGUGCAUUAAGAUGUUUUUGAUACUCCCACUUAUAGCAGGGAUCAUUAUCCUAGGGCCAUUAUAAUUUACAUACCUAAGUCUGGUAUUCUAAACACCCUGUGAAUUACUUGAGGUCAGGGUCCAUGUCUGGUUUCCCAUUAGAGCCUCCUCUGUCUCUCACGAUUUUAGUACAGUAAACUGAGUAUGCAACCCCCACCCUUCCUUAGCCCUUCCUUUGGGGAUGGUUAUUUGGUGCCUUUUCCCUUUACUUCCUCUUGUUGUUUUUCGAUUUGAAACCUGCACCUAGCCCAUGCCCAAUCCUCUUGAAGGCAGAAGAUGACACUCUUAGCAACUACUGUGUGACCCAAUCACUGUACCCCAAACAGGCAGCUUGUAGACCAGAGACCCUAUUAGAUUUAGGCAGCACAGCACAGGGCUAUAAAAACCUUCUCCUGCCACCCACCCCCUCCUCUUUUUCUCUGGUAGAUCAGACACUGUCACAAUAGCAAUAAAGAUCUCUUGGUCACUUUGAGUGUCAUGGUCACUUUCCUUUCAUGAGUAUUGAUGAAUAUGUGAAUGGUAUUUUAUUCCUUUUCUGAGCUACAUUUUGGUAAAGGUAAUAUCAGCCUCUGGUGAGACAUAACAUUUCCAAGAUCCAAACAAAAAUGUCUGCUCCAUUUGGAGUCUCCCUGAGCCAUAAAGAUGCUGAAGUAAUGAAAGCACACUAAGUUGGAUAGAAACACUAAAUUCAUUCUCUCUUGGGGAAAGACACCAAAGCAUCCUAUGGAUGAAUGUUUUCUAUGAAGAAGACUUAACAUUUACAGUUACCAUGUAAAGUAUUUCUGGAAAAUAACCUAAAAGUAAUAUCUACCAGAUAAGGUCAGCUUACCCUUUGAAGGAUGCAGAAACAGAUCCCAUCCUUGACCUUUGUUCUCAAGAGGUAUUGCUGAGCUCUGCCUAAGAUGCUGGGUUUGGGCCUUCCAAGAAUAAGGAAGUUUGUUAAAAUGUAAAUCUUUUAACUCCUCAAGAAAAGAAGUACUAGAGCCGGGCACAGUAGUGCUUGUAAUCUCAGCGGUUUAGGAGGCUGACACAGGAAUAUCGUAAGUUUGAGGCCUGCUUUAGCAAUUUAGCAAGGGUCUAAGCCACUUACUGAGAGCCUGUCUCAAAAAAUAAAAAGGUCUGGGGUUGUGGCACAAUGGUUAAGCAUCCCUGGGUUCAGUCCCUGGUACAGAAGAAGGAGGAGGAGGAAGAGAAGAAGACGAAAUGGUACUCACCUGUCCUUCUAAUUUAUACAUAAGAAAGUAGAAGUUGAUUUCAUGAUGUUCAUAUGCUAUAAGUGAACAAAUAAUUCUAGAGAAAUUCUUCUAAUUUUGAAAAUACCAAGCACAAGUUUAUGGUAACCAUGUAUCCUUAUUUUAAAGUAGCAGUAUAAGCAUAAGAUAAACUGCCUUACAGAGUGGUCAGUGAAUAUUUGUUAAGUUAUGUCAUAACAUGGCUGAUUGGUCCUUUUCAAAUAACCUCUAUCAAUAACUCUAAAAAUAUUUUAUAAGUAGAACAAAUCAUCGUCAUUGUCUCAUACUGUCCAUAGAGUUUAGGUGACACUUUGGGUAGCCAACACAUCACUACACCCUGUUUCAUGCCACUUCAUGCUACUUACGUUAAACUUUGAGCAAGUCCUGCAAAAACAUGACUUGAACUAUUUAAAGAUUUUGUAUCUCUGUAUCUUAAAAGCAUCAUAAAAUCCAAUCAGGAUAAAGAGAGACAAAGAUCUGAUUAGAUUUAUAAUUUCAGUGUCUGCCUCUAUCACUUGUAUUCUGGUUUCUUUUUCUUAUUUUAAUUAUUCUUCAAAAGUGUCUGUGUGGGAAUGACUUAAAUUUUAAAUUAAGUAACCUCUGAAAACUGUUCAGCUUUCUGCAAUCUUUUUGAUGAGCCAAAUACACACAUGUGCGCGCACGCACACACACACACAUACACACAAUGGAACUAGUUAUUGUCUCAAGACUGUUUUAUCAGCUUAGUAUUGAAUAAUGAUGUCAGCCUAGAAACUGAUACGCUGAGUUAUUUGGGUCAAGAAGAUCAUACUUGACUCCAUAAAGAGGUUCCCUGGGCUGAAGUGCCAACAGGGCACAGGCUAAUACCACAGUAGUUACUCAGGAGGGUUGAGAUCUAUCAUAAGCUCUUACUGAUGGCUUGGCAUCUUUUAAUUUUUUUAACUGAUUUUAGAAAUAAACAGAAAAAAAAAAUAAAGUCUCUCCUUUUAUAAGAUCGAUGAUCUGACCUUUCCCAUGAGGUCUCAGAUUUACCUGACACCUUGAUCUCUAGAGGAAACAGCAUCCUCCACUUAUGGCAUGACUUUUAUAUGAUGAACGCACCCUCACUCAAGGGAAAUUUUAGAGACAUUUCAUUGAUCCCAGUUUUCUCUGUUGAAAGCUCAAUUUCAAAUCCAAGUCUGUUUAAGAUUUCUCUCCUCAGAACCUUCUGUUCCAGAGAACCAAAUAUAGAAAGAAUAGGAGAAAUUGCUUAGCUCCAUUACAAAGAAUUAGCUUCUUGCUUUCUUAUUUCUCACCAAGCACCAAAGCAGCCCUCUUCCCCUUUAGGAGGGAUAGUCCACCACUUCCCCUGAGGCACACUUGAAGCCUGUCA
This 2896-nucleotide long non-coding RNA is filed under the name Marmota monax (woodchuck). The record is from RNAcentral. Lineage: Eukaryota; Metazoa; Chordata; Mammalia; Rodentia; Sciuridae.